This 9442-nucleotide long non-coding RNA is filed under the name Gallus gallus (chicken). The record is from RNAcentral. Lineage: Eukaryota; Metazoa; Chordata; Aves; Galliformes; Phasianidae.
AAUGUUAUUAUUUUAGUAGGAGCUAAGAAGUUCUGCAGUGUGAAGUCUGAGCAGACACCUGAGUUAUGAACAAUAUGGGGUUGGUGUUGCUCUUAACAAAUUGCCGAUUUAAAGAGAUUAGUAUUACAAAUGCAAGCUUUGAAAUUUGAACAGGUACAUGGUUUUAAGCACAUGAAUACUCUCUGAAGUUAACAGAAACAUUUUUAUGAUUGAGCACGUGGCAUAUAUUCCACCUUUUGUCACACUGGAAUUCUAGCCUGCAGAACAAACGUUUUGGUCUUUUAAUGAAAGUUACUGAGGAAAAGUAAAUAUUCUUGGCUGCAGAUUAGUUCACAUCUAGUUCUUCAUGACUACAUGCUCCAAAAAAAAUUGCAAACAAAGUUGCGCUGACAUGUUGAGACUACUUUUCAUCAUGCAGAGAUCUGAAAUUACUUUCUCCCUACAGCAGGUCCUGAAAACUGUAAAACAGCACUGAAUUUAUAGCAUAAGACUAGCUGCUUUGCAGCCUGUCUGCUUUACAGAGAAAAUAUGAGUUUGCCUUAACAGAUGAGCAUAUUUAUGCAUGGAGAGUGAUUAUGUUGAUCACUUAAGACUUGAUCUCUUACAGCUUGGAAAUCUGAAGGUGUAAACUCUUUGCAAGCCAAUUUAAAUGUUAAACUAGCCACCUAGACACAUGACUGUGCUCAGUCAUGUAUCCCCUAUGGCAUGCCAGGGAAGAAAGAAGUCACGUAAAGGCUUAAGUAUGAUAUUAAAAUCAGACAAGACCAUUUCAAACUUCCGGAAUUGCCUCACAAAGCAUGGGAAAACCAGGCCAAACAGUUCAGAAAUGGAAUAUAUUACACUGAAAUGAAACAAUGAAAUGGAGCAUUAUAAUGAGAUCAACACCAAGCAGCCUAGUUAUCCUUAUAUCUACCUCCCAUAAUUUUGUUAUACACUAGUGAUGUUUCACUCAAGUUAUGCUGGUCUGAAACAUCAGUAGCAAACCAAACAUAAUUUCUCUCUCUUGGAUGGUACCAAGUUCAUUGUUACAAACACAUUAGCAUCCAGUUCAAUAAAUAGCUGAACACUGUACUUUUCAAAGACUAGACAGCCAUAUGACCAAGCAAAAAUAAAUUAUACUAUCUUCAAUUCUUGAAUCAACCUGUGGCAAUUGGACAGAUCAAUACAAUGGGAAAAAGGUGUUUCACCAGAGACGUAAUAACAGAAUGACUGCCACAAUAGAAAGGUGCCUUAAGGGAAGGAAAGAAGAUUGUUCACCCAUAUCAAAAGAUUCCAGAUUCACAGGAGAAAGCUCCACCAAAGUGGAAUCUCCAGAAAGAGAUUAGGGUUAGGGUAAGGGUCAGCCCUUAAACGGGGUCUGAGAGAGGUGCAGCCAGGCUCCACCCCUUCCAGUCACACAGCUGAAUUGCCUUCACCUGUGCUCCCAGGGCUGAGCCGGUCCUUUCCCCAGGUGCUCAAUCAGUGGUUCAGGCCAUGACUCAACAGUCCCCAUACACAGUCAAAUAUGCAUGUAAAUGUAUACUGCAGCUAUUCAUAGAGCCAAAUAAGCUUAUCUCUGACUCAUUCAUGGAAGCAGUUGAGUUAGCAGACAAGUCAGGUGUUCUCUGUGACACAGUAUUAAUGGACUCUGGAGUAAAAACAUCACUGGCAAAACAGGAAAGAGUUCGCAAACACAUUGAUGGAAGAGGCACUAAAAACACAGAUCUAAGAACUAAUUCUGAACCACAUUAAAGCUCCACAGCAGAGACAUACUCAGAGCCAACUCAUCCAUCGAGCCAGCUCACAAACAUAGUACUACCAAUAGCGUAGGAUCAGAAAUAACAAAAUUCAGCUACUCUUUUCAUCUUUUACAUCAUUUAUGCCAGCUCUGCAGCAGAAAGGUAGAGAGGCAACAGUGGGGACCUGCCCAGUGAUAAUGGCUAACAUUUGCCAGCUGUCUCUACCCAGGAUCUGAAGCGAGCACCAAGUAACUUUCCUUUCUUAGCCUAGAAAACCUGACCCUGUCAAUCUACAGAUCUAGGAGGAAAGGCAUGCUGGUUUAUCUCAGAGCACUUCUUCUGAACGAACGCCAGAAAAUUAAAGUUAUUGCAGGAUCAUUGUAUUUUAAGUAAGCAGACUUGUAUUCUGAAAGGCAGGGAUAGCAUGAGAGUUUUGAGAUGAAGCUGCCUACACAGAUUCUUUCCUCUCCAGUCAGAAAUAGCAUCAACAGAACCAGGGUCAGAUUCUUUCCUAAGCAUGAAUUGAUGGAACUAGAAUAGUAAAAGGAAAUAUUCUAAAGUGAUAGGAAAGUACAAUUUUUAGGAGAAUUAAAUUCUGUAAGAUCUGCUAUAUAAACUCAGUUCUGUGGAAUACAACAGACAGAACUUAGAGAAAUAUUAGCUUCAUGGAGCUGCAGUUUUAGUUUACUUAAAGAUGGCGAGAAAGCAAUUAUUAUAUUAGAGAAAGUAGUCCUAUGUCUUUCUUCCCCUUUCUCUAAAAAUACAGCUGUUUCAUCAUAAUUGUGUUUAUCUGAAUGACAUGAUACGAUUGUAUUUUUAUCGAGUGAACACAUGAAUCCAACAAUGAUAAAUGAAGAAAAGCUGUAGAGGAAAAUGUCCAUAAUCCACAAAUUGUUUAUCCAUCUUCUAAAAAAGGGCAGAAUAAUCAAAUUAUUCUCAUAAUUAAAUAUAAAUUCUAUACUACAGAUCAGUUUUUCUAACCUUUUAGCAGAGUUACACCACUCACUCAGACUUUUUUUUACUCUUUCUAUACUGAAAACAUUAGUUAUCUUAUUAGUGCUAGUAUACUGUUCUCUCAAAGGUGCACCACUAAGCAUUAGAGAUGCACAGUAAAAUGUUUUCCUGUCAUACAAGCAUUUUAGAUUUGAAAUCUCCCCUUCCAGAUGAGAACAGACUAUGCAUAUCUUAAGUUCUGAAGCAGAAGUAACCUCCAAACAAUCAGUUUGGUUAAGGUGAAAAAUUUUGCUUGGAUAAAAUUAACGAGAAAUGUUUUGGGGUUGACAUUCAAAUAUUCAAAUUUUUAAAAAUACACAGAAAAUGUAAGAGAAAAAGUUAUUUCACACCAAGAAAUAGAACCUAGAUGCCAAUAAAAAGAGCUUUGAUGACUUUAAAACUUUAAAGUAGAUAUGGUGAAUUUUGUCAGAACAGAUCUUUUUCCCCAUAUAUUUCAGAUUGGGGAACAGCUUGGUUAUAAAAGUAUUGCCCAUUUUUCACAACAAAAUUUUCUUUUAAAAAAAGUCUUACUGACCUUAGAGAUGGCCAAUCUAUUCAGCAAAUAGCUGUGCUGAAGUGAACAGGAAUAAAUCAUUGAGUAAAAUUGCAAGAUCAAACCUCUGAAUUAUAUGAAUCAUUUAAUCUUACUGAAUAUUGGAAAUUGCAGGACACCAAUUGUAGUUGUUAGCUGCACGCAUGGGAGAUGUAUUUUAUCAAAAAUGAUAUUAAGAAACUGGGGACCAAAAGUUCAUAUAGUUCUAGAAAACAAAAAUAUUUCAGAGAACUCACUUAAAAAUUAUUGUAAUAUGAAUAAUCUAUUCAAUAAACAUGUAACACUAUUAUUCUUAUAAUACAGAUAUAUUUUUGAAGAUUUAAGAAGAAAAUAUUAAUAGACGGCCAGCUGAUAUGGAUAAAUCUUUCCCAAGUUUCAGGUGUGAAGCUAUUUGCAACAAAAAGGUAACAUUUCAUCUGCAGAUAGAAAGUUCAGAGAAAAUGAUUUCAGUACCUAAGGAAGAUGAGACAGCAGAGACAUUCUUUUGUUAUCAGUCACUACUAGAGAGCAAGUAAUUAAUUUAUUUAAAAAAAUAAUAACAAAAAGCAGUAAUUACUGCAAGUACAGAAGUGGAUGUAUAAUCAUCCAUUUGUUAGAAACAAGCAUGUGAAUUUCCACAUCAGCCUGGAAAUACCUCUUCCUUUGAUUACUUAAUCUGCUCUGAUUGAGUUCUCUGUCAGUUCCACCUGUGAAGAUAAAACUUCAUUGCUUUUCCAGUCUUUUACCUCUGACUGUUUCUUUUGAUUCUACCCCGAUGUCUCUUUCUGACCUAAUUUAAGUUCAAAGCCUCAAUUAACAAAGUAUUAUGCCUAUUAAAGUCUAUUCUUAAAAUGCCAUUUAGUAGGUCAAACACAAAAGAUGAAAGGAGGAAAGGGGGUCCAAUGGAAAGUGUAAUAAUUCGAAGACAUUCCUAUUUUGUCUUUUUCUGGCUUUGUUCAUAAUCAGUAUUCAUUUUUUCCCCUUUCUCUAAUGAAGGUAGGACAAAAGACUAUAAAAAAGGUGUUUAUGAUGCUUCUGUUGGCAAUGUUUUGAACAAGAACAUAUAUCUUUAUACAGGAUGGAAAAGGAUGUAGUGGUAAUUGCAUUUUAGCACAACAGACUACUAUCACUUAGUGGAAUCAAGUGGACUUGGCUCUCAAAAAUGCUCUCACCAUACUUUUGUGCCACCCUCCAUCUCCACUUCUAGAAAAAAAAAACUAUUCCACUGAUGUAGCCAAAAUCCAGCUCACCAACAUCAAGGCAAAACACUUUCUCAUGAAUCUGUCCUAAGGCACAUUCUUCCUUAAGUUCCAUACUAGAUACAUGCCCAUCAGGAAACUUUAAUACUGUGCAGGUACCUGAGCACAGACGUGUUGCCCAGAGAGGUUGUGGAGUCUCCCACAUGGAGAUCUUGAGUCAUCUGUACACGGUUGUGGUCAACCAGCUCCAGGUAGCCCUGCUAGAGAGGGGGGCUUAGACCAAACGACCUCUAGAGGUCUCUUCCAGCCUCACCCGUUCUGCGGUUAAUAACUGCUGUGCAAACAUAACUGGUUUGAAGGACCCAUAAAGCGUCUUGAAAACACACAAAACCAGAAUAUAUUUUUUAAUCGUUCCUUCAAACUGACAGCUUAUGUUGGACAACUGCUCCUUAUCUUCACUGCUGAAGCGAAAAGGAAUUUGAAACUGAAUACAGCUUUCUAGUGUCAGCCAAAGGUAGAAGGGCUAUGGAAAUUGAUUCUUCUUACACCAUUACAAAAUCAAGUAGUAUUCCCAAUAUGGAAAAAAAAAACUAUCUUUCAGCACUAGAAGAGAGGAAUAAAAAUGAGCUUUAGCAGCUAGGAAAUAAAAUGAAACUGACAAGAAAAGAAGAAAGCAUAUCAUUGCUUGUGACUAACACAAUAGCAGGAGUGAAAAGUCCACAUUCCCAUCUUCCUGUUUUUAUAUAUAUGAUACAUGUAUCAAGAAACAAUACACCAUGUGACUUCUCACCCAACAAAUUUAAAGCACUGUCAUCCACAAUGAGGUUGAACUGACACUUAUAUUAUGAUUCUGAUUGCUUGUGGAAUUUUGCAGUAUAUUUUUAAAAAUCCAAAUACAUUUUAAAUGCAUUUUUAAAUGCAGGGGAAGCGUAUUUCAGAAGUCAGCCAAGUACAGACAGAAAAGUUCCCCCUCCAGGGUUAUUAUUAAUAUUUUUGCAGUUUAAUAAAAUGCUAUCAUAGUAAUUGGAAGCAAUACUUUGAACUUUUUGUAAUUCUCUGUUCAAAGGUCUCACACAUUUUAUGAAUAACAAGUAUCCUUCUCUGCUUCCAGACUCAAGUAUAAGAGGCAAGUAGGUAAUGACAUAUUUUGCUAUUUGCACAAUAGAUAAAUAUCCCAACCCUUCAUCUCACAGAACACAGAAAAAUGAAUACCUGUGAAGCAACCAAAACUAUUAGAUCAAAAACACAGCUGAAAUAAGUGCAUUCACAUUAGGUAUGGUAAACAAUCAGCAGAUCAACUUUUCAUCAUACAUUAGAAAAGAGUGAGAAAAUAAAAUAUUUAGAACCUCAAUGCCAAGUUACAUAGAAUCUCUUAAGAAACAGUGUGUGAUCAUGUUAUCAAUUGUAAGUCUGGCAUUUCUAAAUUCUAAGUAACCUAGUAUUAUUUGAAUGUAAUUUUCUACAUGUCAUUUCUUACAUUUGAACACAAAUAGAAAAAGAAACAGUGAAAUUUCAUACUGUCAAUCAUGUGAGUCUUCUGGCAUAUUUCAAACUAGCAUACAGAAUUUUGUCACAUGUAUUAAUUAAAUAAGUGUUGCUGUUUGUCAUUACAUUUGUGAAAGAGAACUAAAUGAAAUACACUUCAACCCCUGGAUUUAAAUGUAUUUGCUGAGAGAAAAGAAACAGGCGCAAGGGAGAAACUUGCAUCCAGUUCCAAGCUUCAUACAUAAAUAAUAACUAGUGAGCUUAGUCGUCUUCUUAUUCCUCCUUCCUACUCCCAUACUUCUUAAUGAAAUUAAAAAACUUAGCAGGAAACAGAAAUACAGGAUAGUAAACUUCAUCCCAAUAAUGAAGUUUGGAAAAUUAAGAAGAAAUUGCAAAUGGGCAUCUUGCCUCUCUCUUUCUGCAGAGCUAUAACAAUAGAUGAUGUUUCCCUCACACACAAAAUAUUAAGAAAGUUGUGUGGGAGGGUUAAAGAGGAAAGAGUAAUUGCUGCUGUUAACAUCUGAAUUUCUUUGAAUUACAAACUAGAACGAAUGUUCUCUGUGAUGGCUAAGUGAACAAAAGGACUCCGAGUCAAGGUACACAAAAAUACAUGGAAAGAGUAACUUAAAAACGCUGAUUAGAGUUAUGUAACAAAACAGCAUUUUAUUUUCAAAAAAAUCCUCUUAAGUGGACUGAAUCUAAACCAUUGGCUAAGAAGUUGAACCAAACAAGGGAAAUUAAUACGCUUCACUUCAACUUUACAGGGAAAAUUGUGGCAACAUAUUUUAAUCUAUUAUUUACUCACUAAUAUCCAAAAGCCACUUUUUUCAUACCUGCUUUCUUAAGGUCUUUUUCUUUGAUUUUCAGUUUCAGUCAGGGUAAAUUCGAACUGAUAGAAAAUGACAAUUCACUAUGAGUCUAUGAAAGUAUCAUUACCUAUAAGUGUAUUAUUGAUGCUUAAAAGAUCAAACUACUUAAAUGUUUUACAGGUAAUAUCUCUGAUAGUUAUCCUGCUUAAAUUAAAAGAUGUGAAAUAGCAGGCCCAUAAUUUCUAACUUCCUUACAGUUGAGUACCUCAGUUGCAGAAUAAUCCCUGUAAUUAUCCUCUAUGUUCAAAAAUUACAUAAUUAGUAAAAUCUUUUACAAUUUGUCCAGUUCUAUUUGAGCAGAAAUUCCUUUAUAAUAUAUAACUGAAUCUCUAAAAUUACAAAUAAUCAUACCUUACAAGAAGGGUAAAUAACCAAAGUGAAGAUAACAGAUGAAGCUAGUGCUACAUUGUAAAUGUCUGGUAAGUAAGGAGUGCACCAUUUCUGUGUCUAAAGCUCAGGUGAGCAAAAAGAAUUUGCACCUCUGAAAAGGAAAGAGAAAUGAAGAGCUGCACUAAGACAAAGGUAGUUUGGCUAAGAUUGUUGUUGGAAACCACAUUAUCCAUCUUACUGUUCUAUUUCUAGGUAGAAGAGUAAGAGUAAAAGGGUAAAAUUUGAUUUGUUUCAUACAUAAGCCACUAUUCUGAAAUACUUACAAAUAACUGCAUAUAAAAAAGCCUGUAGAUACUGGGACCAUUACACAUACAAACACAAACCACUUAUCAGCAUUCCAUCCUCACUUCAAAACCACCAGUUUCAACACUUAAAACAAGUCUUUUCCACUGUUUCACUGAUUCUCUCUCCAUGUUUUGACUGAAAUCUCUUCUUACUUCCUGAGGCUCUAAAUUACUUUAUUCAUUAUUCAUCUCAGAGAUGGUACUAAGGCAAAAUCCAUACAACAUAUAUUGACUGGAGGGAUUCAACUAAAAAAGUAAUCUGUAUGGCAAAUAGUCAGUUAAAAAGACUUCUAAAAUAAGUAGGCUUAAAAGUGACAUAAAAGAAACCAUAACAAUUUAUUUCUUCACUUUCAUAGAGAGGAUCUCAAAACAUACUUUUGCAAACAAGUAUCAGACCACUCCACUACUGAAGAUUUAGAGGGAAACUAAAGCACUCACUGGGAAAGCAAUUUGCUUGCAGCUGCACCUCAGCUAAAUGAGAGCAGAACCCAGAAUGUACGAUACUCUCUUCACACAUUUCUGUCCUUUGCUAAUACACAAGUCAAAUAAAUCAAAUACCUAAAGAGAUCCUGCUCUUUCCAGUGCUCCUAGCAUAAAUCCUACUUUUUUAGUCCUUUGAGUAACAGUUUCUCACUGUAUUGUAUGUACCCCUUAAACUUCUAUUCCCUUUUUGGUUUAAAACAUCACUGUCAUCUGCAUCACUCAUAUGUGACAGAACACAUUAUCUACACCAAGUAACAUCAGUUUGAGUUGUAACUCCUAAUCAGGACUAGUUACUCUAUUGUGACACAACAAUUUUGUUUAAUUACAAAAAUUGCCACAAGAUUACUUUUGGAAGUAAUUUAUUCAGCUGUCUGCCUAUUAAUAAUGGUUAAGAAAUAACUUUCUAUGUAGACCUGAGAGUGAGGGCUGGAGUUGAUCUAGACAGCAGCACCUCUAUAGUAGUUCAAAAUUAGUUUUCUGCUCUUUUAGAAGCUCUAAUAGAAACAUAUUUAGAAACAUAUCCCACAGAUGUUAUGAAUGAAGUAUCAUAAGAGCCAUGGUUCAAUUACAACAUGUAGUAACACUACUAACAUAACUGAAGUUAAAAGGUUACCUUCAGGUCUGUUAGAAGAUCAUUCUGCUGUAUGCAUUCUGAAUAAAUUAAUCCUCAACUUCAUCAUAAAACAACUGCUCUGACUCUCAAUUUAUCCAAACAACAUGAGCAAUUAGAGUAGAACUAUAAUCUCACAGUAACCUAGCCCUUUUCUUUCUUGAUGUCACAUACCAAAGAGGAAACAACCAACUAGCUGAAGCGUAUUUAUACUUUUUGACAAAUAGCCCAUCCUAACGUAGAGCGGGGUAUAUGCAGUAGUGGAAAACACCUGUGUUAGAACUCUAAGUGGCCACUGAUGAGUCCUGAUUAUCCUCACCUGGGUUACCCUCCACCCCAGCCCUAUAGUGAUUGGUCAAGGCACCCUAUUUAAGUUAAUGUCUAGGCAGCUUGACCUUUCCUAAAGUACACCAGUUACGUACCUAGAAUCAGUUCUAUCUCCUACUAACUCAGUAUACUACUGAGUCUCUGAGAUGAGCUUAAAAUAAGUAAUUUAUGUCAUAUACUAUCUACUGAAUGGAUCUUAGAUUUAGUUUCUUACCUUGUUUAAAUCUUCUGAUGGUAACUGUUGCUGCUACCAGCCUCACCCUGUUCAGGUGUUGUGGGAAUGUACCCUGCCUGAGGAGGACCCAGCCUCUUUUCAAGCUGCUGAAAACCCCUUGCCUGUGGUUCAUCUCAAGGUAAAGCCUGAAAUUAAAAUGUGAAGCAUUAGCUGAAUUACUGUGGUCUUGCAAAGUAAGUUCAGGCUCUCUCGCUAUUGUAUAGCAUCUUUUCUUUUUUAAAAACUUUUGCUUGAGGUGACUUUGUCACUUGUGUGACAAAACACUUAAAAUCAUAGAUUAAGUUGAGUUGGAAGGAACUUUUAGAGGCUAUCUAGUC